AGAGUUUGAUCCUGGCUCAGGACGAGCGCUGGCGGCGUGCUUAACACAUGCAAGUCGAACGGAAAGGCCCUUCGGGGUACUCGAGUGGCGAACGGGUGAGUAACACGUGGGUGAUCUGCCCUGCACUUUGGGAUAAGCCUGGGAAACUGGGUCUAAUACCGAAUAGGACCACGCGCUUCAUGGUGUGUGGUGGAAAGCUUUUGCGGUGUGGGAUGGGCCCGCGGCCUAUCAGCUUGUUGGUGGGGUAAUGGCCUACCAAGGCGACGACGGGUAGCCGGCCUGAGAGGGUGACCGGCCACACUGGGACUGAGAUACGGCCCAGACUCCUACGGGAGGCAGCAGUGGGGAAUAUUGCACAAUGGGCGCAAGCCUGAUGCAGCGACGCCGCGUGAGGGAUGACGGCCUUCGGGUUGUAAACCUCUUUCACCAGGGACGAAGCGUAAGUGACGGUACCUGGAGAAGAAGCACCGGCCAACUACGUGCCAGCAGCCGCGGUAAUACGUAGGGUGCGAGCGUUGUCCGGAAUUACUGGGCGUAAAGAGCUCGUAGGUGGUUUGUCGCGUUGUUCGUGAAAACUCACAGCUUAACUGUGGGCGUGCGGGCGAUACGGGCAGACUAGAGUACUGCAGGGGAGACUGGAAUUCCUGGUGUAGCGGUGGAAUGCGCAGAUAUCAGGAGGAACACCGGUGGCGAAGGCGGGUCUCUGGGCAGUAACUGACGCUGAGGAGCGAAAGCGUGGGGAGCGAACAGGAUUAGAUACCCUGGUAGUCC
RNAcentral lists this ribosomal RNA (771 nucleotides) under uncultured bacterium. RNAcentral's name for it is "bacterial SSU rRNA". It matches the Rfam family "Bacterial small subunit ribosomal RNA", at positions 8 to 796 of the family's 1533-position model. The record is from RNAcentral.